GGCGCCAUUUUGUGAGCGUCAGGGGUCUCAUGUCCCUCACAGUAUGGAAGCCGCGGCCUCAUUCCACUCCCGCCCGCAGAUUUCUUCUCUGAUUUCAAAGGUUGUUUGGUUUGGAUGUCACAUGGUGACUGACCAGCCCAGGGGAGCCAACAAAAAACUGCCUUGCUCUGUGCAUCUAGUGGAUGGCAUCUCCAAGAGGCACUGUUCGAUCUCGGUGACAUUGCGGCCUCUCCUAAGUCUUAUGGUACAUGGAAUCAUUCCUAUUAUUCCAUUCUGUGAAUCAUUCCUUUGCCUGCUCUCAGGUUCCUGCUUCUAACCUGAUACCCAGCAAGCUUCAGAGCCUUCAGAGCCCCCCUUUGUCCCUUCUAAACAGAACACAGGAAGACUGAAGUAUCAUAUUUAUUUACUCAGAAGAGGCAAAGAUGAUUGUUAUUUUGUAUGACAAUCAGAAAGUAACUAUUGACUGUGCCUUCAAAAGAUCUUGACAAAACUUACCCAACGUAUUUUCAGGAUUCAGUAAAUAUUU
RNAcentral lists this long non-coding RNA (526 nucleotides) under Mustela putorius furo (domestic ferret). RNAcentral describes it as "lncRNA (ENSMPUG00000030680.1)". Lineage: Eukaryota; Metazoa; Chordata; Mammalia; Carnivora; Mustelidae. The record is from RNAcentral.